RNAcentral lists this ribosomal RNA (479 nucleotides) under uncultured bacterium. RNAcentral describes it as "bacterial SSU rRNA". It matches the Rfam family "Bacterial small subunit ribosomal RNA", at positions 968 to 1445 of the family's 1533-position model. The record is from RNAcentral.
ACCUUACCUGGAUUUGACAUCUCCUGACAUCCCUAGAAAUAGGGCUUCUGUAGCAAUACAGCAGGAAGACAGGUGCUGCAUGGCUGUCGUCAGCUCGUGUGGUGACAUGUUGGGUUAAGUCCCGCAACGAGCGCAACCCUUGUCUUUAGUUGCCAGCAUUCAGUUGGGCACUCUAAAGAGACUGCCGUGGUUAACACGGAGGAAGGUGGGGAUGACGUCAAGUCCUCAUGGCCUUUAUAUCCAGGGCGACACACGUGAUACAAUGGACGGUACAGAGGGACGCCAAGAGGCAACUCGGAGCUAAUCUCAAAAAGCCGUUCUCAGUUCGGAUUGGAGUCUGCAACUCGACUCCAUGAAGUUGGAAUCGCUAGUAAUCGCGGAUCAGCACGCCGCGGUGAAUACGUUCCCGGGCCUUGUACACACCGCCCGUCACACCAUGGGAGNUGACUCAACCAGAAGACGGUCAGGGUAACCGAAAG